UAAAAAGUCAAGCCUAAUCCAGCACUGCGCGAUCGAACCAAGCGUGUAGCUGGAGCGGAGGAACCAAUUUUCGGGGCGAAUCUCUACUGAAUUAAAAAGCAAAGUUAAAAAUUGCCAAAUUAUGAGUGUAAUUUUUGAUUUUGAAAUUUAAGGAGAAGGACAUCUCUCAGUCCUAGCCCGUCAGCUAACUUCGCAGGCAUUGAGAAGAGACUGA
RNAcentral lists this small RNA (214 nucleotides) under Phormidium nigroviride PCC 7112. Its description in RNAcentral is "Oscillatoria sp. PCC 7112 c-di-AMP riboswitch aptamer (ydaO/yuaA leader)". It matches the Rfam family "c-di-AMP riboswitch aptamer (ydaO/yuaA leader)". Rfam says of the family: This family represents a conserved RNA structure found upstream of the ydaO and yuaA genes in Bacillus subtilis and related genes in other bacteria. The ydaO/yuaA element is thought to act as a genetic "off" switch for the ydaO and yuaA genes in its native state. It is believed that the element may be triggered during osmotic shock leading to activation of ydaO, a predicted amino acid transporter gene, and members of the yuaA-yubG operon which code for KtrA and KtrB K+ transporters. RNAcentral also lists the same sequence under 1 other name. Lineage: Bacteria; Bacillati; Cyanobacteriota; Cyanophyceae; Oscillatoriales; Oscillatoriaceae. The record is from Rfam by way of RNAcentral.